AAUACGUAGGGUGCGAGCGUUGUCCGGAUUUAUUGGGCGUAAAGAGCUCGUAGGCGGUUUGUCGCGUCGGCCGUGAAAACCUGCAGCUUAACUGUGGGCUUGCGGUCGAUACGGGCAGACUUGAGUUCGGUAGGGGAGACUGGAAUUCCUGGUGUAGCGGUGAAAUGCGCAGAUAUCAGGAGGAACACCGGUGGCGAAGGCGGGUCUCUGGGCCGAUACUGACGCUGAGGCGCGAAAGCUAGGGGAGCGAACAG
RNAcentral lists this ribosomal RNA (254 nucleotides) under uncultured prokaryote. Its description in RNAcentral is "partial 16S ribosomal RNA". It matches the Rfam family "Bacterial small subunit ribosomal RNA", at positions 522 to 775 of the family's 1533-position model. The record is from RNAcentral.